Molecule: ribosomal RNA, 301 nt
Filed under: uncultured bacterium
Lineage: Bacteria
Description: partial 16S ribosomal RNA
Rfam family: Bacterial small subunit ribosomal RNA
Source: RNAcentral
CAGCAGCCGCGGUAAUACAGAGGGUGCAAGCGUUAAUCGGAAUUACUGGGCGUAAAGCGCGCGUAGGUGGUUUGUUAAGUUGGAUGUGAAAUCCCCGGGCUCAACCUGGGAACUGCAUCCAAAACUGGCAAGCUAGAGUAUGGUAGAGGGUGGUGGAAUUUCCUGUGUAGCGGUGAAAUGCGUAGAUAUAGGAAUGAACACCAGUGGCGAAGGCGACCACCUGGACUGAUACUGACACUGAGGUGCGAAAGCGUGGGGAGCAAACAGGAUUAGAUACCCGAGUAGUCCCUGUCUCUUAUAC